UACGUAGGUGGCAAGCGUUGUCCGGAUUUACUGGGCGUAAAGAGCGCGCAGGCGGUCGUUCAAGUCGCGUGUGAAAGCCCCCGGCUCAACUGGGGAGGGUCACGCGAUACUGAUCGACUCGAAGGCAGGAGAGGGUAGUGGAAUUCCCGGUGUAGUGGUGAAAUGCGUAGAUAUCGGGAGGAACACCAGUGGCGAAGGCGGUUCUCUGGGACGGUACUGACGCUGAGACGCGAAAGCGUGGGGAGCGAACAGG
This 253-nucleotide ribosomal RNA is filed under the name uncultured bacterium. RNAcentral describes it as "partial 16S ribosomal RNA". It matches the Rfam family "Bacterial small subunit ribosomal RNA", at positions 524 to 776 of the family's 1533-position model. The record is from RNAcentral.